GCUCCUAUCGUUUAAUGGUUAAGACAAUGCUUUUUCAUGGCGUAAACGUAAGUUCAACUCUUACUAGGAGUG
RNAcentral lists this transfer RNA (72 nucleotides) under Porolithon onkodes. RNAcentral describes it as "tRNA-Glu". It matches the Rfam family "tRNA". Rfam says of the family: Transfer RNA (tRNA) molecules are approximately 80 nucleotides in length. Their secondary structure includes four short double-helical elements and three loops (D, anti-codon, and T loops). The record is from RNAcentral. Lineage: Eukaryota; Rhodophyta; Florideophyceae; Corallinales; Porolithaceae.